GACGAACGCUGGCGACGUGCUUAACACAUGCAAGUCGAACGGAAAGGCCCUGCUUUUUUGGGGUGCUCGAGUGGCGAACGGGUGAGUAACACGUGAGUAACCUGCCCUUGACUUUGGGAUAACUUCAGGAAACUGGGGCUAAUACCGGAUAGGAGCUCCUGCUGCAUGGUGGGGGUUGGAAAGUUUCGGCGGUUGGGGAUGGACUCGCGGCUUAUCAGCUUGUUGGUGGGGUAGUGGCUUACCAAGGCUUUGACGGGUAGCCGGCCUGAGAGGGUGACCGGCCACAUUGGGACUGAGAUACGGCCCAGACUCCUACGGGAGGCAGCAGUGGGGAAUAUUGCACAAUGGGCGGAAGCCUGAUGCAGCAACGCCGCGUGCGGGAUGACGGCCUUCGGGUUGUAAACCGCUUUCGCCUGUGACGAAGCGUGAGUGACGGUAAUGGGUAAAGAAGCACCGGCUAACUACGUG
Molecule: ribosomal RNA, 468 nt
Filed under: uncultured bacterium
Lineage: Bacteria
Description: partial 16S ribosomal RNA
Rfam family: Bacterial small subunit ribosomal RNA
Source: RNAcentral